This 156-nucleotide ribosomal RNA is filed under the name Alternaria senecionicola. RNAcentral's name for it is "5.8S ribosomal RNA". It matches the Rfam family "5.8S ribosomal RNA". From Rfam's summary of the family: 5.8S ribosomal RNA (5.8S rRNA) is a component of the large subunit of the eukaryotic ribosome. The record is from RNAcentral. Lineage: Eukaryota; Fungi; Ascomycota; Dothideomycetes; Pleosporales; Pleosporaceae.
AACUUUCAACAACGGAUCUCUUGGUUCUGGCAUCGAUGAAGAACGCAGCGAAAUGCGCAUAAGUAGUGUGAAUUGCAGAAUUCAGUGAAUCAUCGAAUCUUUGAACGCACAUUGCGCCCUUUGGUAUUCCAAAGGGCAUGCCUGUUCGAGCGUCAU